This 817-nucleotide long non-coding RNA is filed under the name Heterocephalus glaber (naked mole-rat). Its description in RNAcentral is "lncRNA (ENSHGLG00100040327.1)". The record is from RNAcentral. Lineage: Eukaryota; Metazoa; Chordata; Mammalia; Rodentia; Bathyergidae.
UCUUGUUGGGUGGAUGUCUGAGUGUGUGCCUUACUGAAAUGUCUUCUCAUUUUUGUUUUCGGUACUGUCCUUGGUUUUGUUCCUGGGUUGAUACUUUGUAAGUAUCUUGGUUGAAGUAUUUAGAACCCUUAUGGAAUGACUACUUCUCACAGGUGUCUUUGAUAUAUACCUGGAGUUUAGGUUUUGAGUCUCUAAGGGCUGUGAGGCCUUCCCAUUUACAUUAUACCAGGAAGUAGGACUGAGGAGAUCAAUCCCAACAUCUUAGCCCAAGUGGUAGAAGGAGCAACACAAUACAAUGAGGCACUUCUUCCAAAAUGACCAUUCCUGGGAAUUAUUAAUCUCUCACCUUUCACUAUGUGAUUUAAAUCAAAAUGAAUGACCAACCCAACAUAUGUUUAUAGUGAAUGAACUCUUGCACAUAGCAACUUUACCUUUCAGAAUGGGGAAAUAGAAAGAGUCGGGGAGGAAGGGAUAUGUACGUAGAAGGAUAGGGGAAGGUUAGCAGUGAAGCCAGAGGACACAGGUGAGAGAAGAAAAGAGAAGAAAUGUAAAAAUAAGAAAGAAAUAUGAAUUAGGCCCAGAACGGGAAUACAAAGGGAGGUGAAGAACAAUGUGGGACAGCAAGGGAGCCUGGGAGAGAGUGAAAGCAAAGAGGAAAAAAUCAAAAAAGUGAAAAAUAACAAAUAUAAGAGUAGAUAAAGGAAAAAAAUUAAACAGAGCAAAGAACUAGUGGUAAUUUUGAAAAUAAGAAAUAAAGGAGUAAAAUGAAUGGACUCCUUCAGGGUAUGUCUCUUCUGUCACUCUAGACAAUAUGGCC